This 429-nucleotide ribosomal RNA is filed under the name Bacillota bacterium. Its description in RNAcentral is "Firmicutes bacterium partial 16S ribosomal RNA". It matches the Rfam family "Bacterial small subunit ribosomal RNA", at positions 355 to 776 of the family's 1533-position model. Lineage: Bacteria; Bacillati; Bacillota. The record is from RNAcentral.
UGGGGAAUUUUGGACAAUGGGCGAAAGCCUGAUCCAGCAAUGCCGCGUGUGUGAAGAAGGCCUUCGGGUUGUAAAGCACUUUUGCCCGGAAAGAAAUGGCUCUGGUUAAUACCUGGGGUCGAUGACGGUACCGGAAGAAUAAGGACCGGCUAACUACGUGCCAGCAGCCGCGGUAAUACGUAGGGUCCAAGCGUUAAUCGGAAUUACUGGGCGUAAAGCGUGCGCAGGCGGUUGUGCAAGACCGAUGUGAAAUCCCCGAGCUUAACUUGGGAAUUGCAUUGGUGACUGCACGGCUAGAGUGUGUCAGAGGGGGGUAGAAUUCCACGUGUAGCAGUGAAAUGCGUAGAGAUGUGGAGGAAUACCGAUGGCGAAGGCAGCCCCCUGGGAUAACACUGACGCUCAUGCACGAAAGCGUGGGGAGCAAACAGG